GACGAACGCUGGCGGCGUGCCUAAUACAUGCAAGUCGAACGCUGAAGGAGGAGCUUGCUUCUCUGGAUGAGUUGCGAACGGGUGAGUAACGCGUAGGUAACCUGCCUGGUAGCGGGGGAUAACUAUUGGAAACGCUAGCUAAUACCGCAUAAUAGUAGAUGUUGCAUGACAUUUGCUUAAAAGGUGCAAUUGCAUCACUACCAGAUGGACCUGCGUUGUAUUAGCUAGUUGGUGGGGUAAUGGCUCACCAAGGCGACGAUACAUAGUCGACCUGGGAGGGGUGACGGCCAAACUGGGACUUGGACACGGCCCAGAACCCUACGGGAGGCAGCAGGAGGGAAACUUCGGCAAUGGGCGGAAGGCUGACCGGGCAACGCCGCGGGAGUGAAGAAGGGUUUCGGAUCGUAAAGCUCUGUUGUAAGAGAAGAACGAGAGUGGGAGUGGAAAGUUCACACUGUGACGGUAUCUUACCAGAAAGGGACGGCUAACUACGUG
Molecule: ribosomal RNA, 495 nt
Filed under: uncultured bacterium
Lineage: Bacteria
Description: partial 16S ribosomal RNA
Rfam family: Bacterial small subunit ribosomal RNA
Source: RNAcentral